UACGUAGGGUGCGAGCGUUGUCCGGAAUUAUUGGGCGUAAAGAGCUCGUAGGCGGUGUGUCACGUCGGCCGUGAAAACCUGCAGCUUAACUGUGGGCGUGCGGUCGAUACGGGCAUCACUGGAGUUCGGCAGGGGAGACUGGAAUUCCUGGUGUAGCGGUGAAAUGCGCAGAUAUCAGGAGGAACACCGGUGGCGAAGGCGGAUCUCUGGGCCUUACCUGACGCUGAGGAGCGAAAGCGUGGGGAGCGAACAGG
Molecule: ribosomal RNA, 254 nt
Filed under: uncultured bacterium
Lineage: Bacteria
Description: partial 16S ribosomal RNA
Rfam family: Bacterial small subunit ribosomal RNA
Source: RNAcentral